This 309-nucleotide ribosomal RNA is filed under the name Vulcanimicrobiota bacterium. RNAcentral describes it as "bacterial SSU rRNA". It matches the Rfam family "Bacterial small subunit ribosomal RNA", at positions 1 to 301 of the family's 1533-position model. The record is from RNAcentral. Lineage: Bacteria; Bacillati; Vulcanimicrobiota.
UAAUGGAGAGUUUGAUCCUGGCUCAGGACUAACGCUGGCGGCGUGCCUAACACAUGCAAGUCGAGCGAGCACCAUUCCGUAGCAAUACGGGAGAAGUGCUAGCGGCAGACGGGUGAGUAACACGUAGUCAACCUAUCUUUUCGCCCGGGAUAACUAGCCGAAAGGUUAGCUAAUACCUGAUACGAUCAUCGAGUGGCAUCACUUGAUGAUGAAAGCAGCAAUGCGCGGAUUGAGGGGGCUGCGGCCCAUUAGCUAGUUGGUGAGGUAACGGCUCACCAAGGCAACGAUGGGUAGCUGGUCUGAGAGGAC